AGAAAGAUAAGCUAAGUAAAGCUAAUGGGUUCAUACCCCAGCUAUAGGGAUUUACCCCUUUUUUCUG
RNAcentral lists this transfer RNA (67 nucleotides) under Calineuria stigmatica. RNAcentral describes it as "tRNA-Met". Lineage: Eukaryota; Metazoa; Arthropoda; Insecta; Plecoptera; Perlidae. The record is from RNAcentral.